GUUUUCACGUGAAAACAGAGAACGACUCAAAAAGUGGAAAAGGGAAAAAGGGGCAAAGAGCCAGAGAACAAGGGUUGAAGAGAAGAAGAGCUCGAAGCUAAAGGAUUGCCGGAUUAACUCAGGUAACGAGCAGUGAUUGAGUAGGAGCUAGUGCUUGGAGUCUAGUGUAGUCUCCUUAGUGGGUCAUGCUCUGAUAGAUGUAACAUCGGGAUGGGAUGUUUUAAGUGUUUUAUUGUUGGUUGUGAACCAGUUUACAUGUAUUGUGUUACAUGUUUUGAUAUGAUUGAUUUGAUCUUUAUCCGCUGCGUAUUAUGCAAAAUGUUUUAUGUUUUGAAGAAAUAAACGAGCAUGACAGUUAUUAUGGUGAA
Lathyrus oleraceus (garden pea) is the source of this 368-nucleotide long non-coding RNA. RefSeq lists it as uncharacterized. The transcript is spliced from 2 exons. Lineage: Eukaryota; Viridiplantae; Streptophyta; Magnoliopsida; Fabales; Fabaceae. The record is from RefSeq and is a predicted model, not a curated record.